RNAcentral lists this ribosomal RNA (439 nucleotides) under uncultured bacterium. RNAcentral describes it as "partial 16S ribosomal RNA". It matches the Rfam family "Bacterial small subunit ribosomal RNA", at positions 338 to 795 of the family's 1533-position model. The record is from RNAcentral.
CCUACGGGUGGCAGCAGUGGGGAAUAUUGGACAAUGGGGGGAACCCUGAUCCAGCGACGCCGCGUGAGUGAAGAAGUAUUUCGGUAUGUAAAGCUCUAUCAGCAGGGAAGAAAAUGACGGUACCUGACUAAGAAGCCCCGGCUAACUACGUGCCAGCAGCCGCGGUAAUACGUAGGGGGCAAGCGUUAUCGGGAUUUACUGGGUGUAAAGGGAGCGUAGACGGCGAUGCAAGUCUGAAGUGAAAGGCGGGGCCCAACCCCCGGACUGCUUUGGAAACUGUAUGGCUGGAGUGCAGGAGAGGUAAGUGGAAUUCCUGGUGGAGCGGUGAAAUGCGUAGAUAUUAGGAGGAACACCAGUGGCGAAGGCGGCUUACUGGACUGUAACUGACGUUGAGGCUCGAAAGCGUGGGGAGCAAACAGGAUUAGAUACCCGAGUAGUC